RNAcentral lists this long non-coding RNA (3526 nucleotides) under Triticum aestivum (bread wheat). RNAcentral's name for it is "long non-coding RNA (TAES_LNC026149)". Lineage: Eukaryota; Viridiplantae; Streptophyta; Magnoliopsida; Poales; Poaceae. The record is from RNAcentral.
AUUAGAUAGAUAGAUAGAUGGAUAGAUAGUUCCGUCCAGACGCCUUGUCACCCAAAUUUCUUGCAAGACUUGCAGCAACAGACUUGUUUUAGCGUAAACACCUGGUGAUGCAAACAAUGAUAUAAAAGAAAUGAUAGUACCAUACAAUCGUUAUGCACCCAGAAUAAUAAUGGUUCAGUAAAAACAUCAAGAUACGUCACAUCUCUUCGCACAUAUCAGUGGUUGUACAUGUCAUACCAAUCUAUGGCAUACGGUGCAUGUUUAAAAGGUAUAACAAAACACAAUAGAAGAAAGUAGUGGCUUAGCCCUAGAGAAUGUAAAAGGCAGUAGACAUAUAUAAUAAAGGGGCAUUAAUAUGCAUUUAUAGUAGUUUGUGACACAUGAUAACGGGCAGUAGAUCGCACACAUAGCUUGCUUGCACAUUUCACACCAACUGAGCACAAAUCAAGGCAUGAUAUGCACAAAAAUAACAGAGAAGCCAGUGUGGGAGAAGGGAUGGCUCACCAAUGCACCCCCAGAUCCAAGCUCCAACACUUCGAUGCCCUUUUGGAUUUUCAUGGAAAACCAUAUAGACACAUAUAAAUAAAAAAUCUACAAAAAGAAGAUGUUAUAUAUUGUAGUACUAAUUCCAAUCGAGGCAUGAUUAUAUUAUUGGAGGAUGUUGAACUCAACGGAUUAUAUUCUUAUUGAUUCCUUCUGAUUGUUUAUUUGCUGAAAGCCCACCGGUCAUGAAAUCAACUACGGAUGAUUGUUAAUUACAAUGCUCUAGGAGAACUGAUCAGGGUGUGUGAGCACAAAAAAACUCAGCAACCUUCGUGAUGACAACUGUGAAUAAACAUAAAAGGUAUAUUUUGCCUUUAUUAAUUAUUAAUUUUGACUUCAUAUUCACAAAGAGUAAUACCAAGUUCCAUUAAAAGGUUGAUAAAAGGCCGAGUGCUAGCCUUGCCUUUUUGGUUUUAAAGGGAGGGGGUCUCAUCAGCAAUGACACACCCCUUAGUUCACUACAGGGAGGGAAAACAGUCAGACCCACUUAUUCGGUAUCGAUGGAUCAAACAGGAAGCACAGGAGGCAAGUAGAAGCAUAUACCUUGAAGUACCAUCCCCCUCAUCACCUAGGGUAGCAGGACCAUCGACCAGCGCUGCAUAUUCAUAGAAGCCCAAAGCACAUACAACCAAAUUAGAUAAACAUGUUACUGAUAUUGAUCUUAUUCUUACAAAAGACAGCAGAUAAACAUGUCAGAAGAAAAUAUACACUUGAGAUUGUAUUUAGUAGAGUACAAAUUCAAAAAUACUUACAGUUGCAUUGAUGCAGCUGAAGCUGAUUAUCGUGCCCUGAGCUUCCCGCAGCUUGACAUGUGCCACCCGCUUUUCAACCAUCCUGUGGAUGCAUGGCUGUACAGCAGAACCUUGAAAACAACCAAGUUCAAAAUUGAACCAAAGAAUGAGCGAAAGAUAAGAAUGCCUAUCAGGCUAUGCUGUAAUUGUUGGAUUAAUAUAUUGGAAAUUAAGAAGCGUGAUAGUCAGAACAGACUAUAUCACAAGAUUAUAGCAGGGAUAUGCAACUACAGAUCAAGUAAAGAUGAUGUUGAAAUAGCUGAUGUGUUCACAACUCAAUUAAGAAGUAUAAUAACCUAAGAGACGCCGGUCUUUUUCCCUCCAUAUCUUAGCAUGGACAUUUCACAAUCCAUCUCCUUUAAUUCUUCUUAUAACAAUUAUUCAACACCCGGUCCACUAUUCGGCUAAUAUUAGCUAGCUCGCUACCUUGCUAUGGACAAUGUCCACACUAACAAUUUCAAUAGUUAUUCUUGUUCCCAGACUGAUCCAUAGACCAUAGUAUAUUCCUUCGCCUAAGCCUCUCGCAACGCAAGCUACUGCUCUCCUAUAUAAACCAAAAUAGCAUUAUAGUGUAGUUAACUCUUGGUUUUAUACAGGAUUCUAGUACUGUUGAAUAAAAACAAACCAAGUGCUUGUGGGUCAUGUAAACAGAGAAGCAAAUGAGAAAUCGGGAUGUGGUUCAAAAUAUUUCAGUGGUACCAUCUAUAGUUUAAAAAGUCAUUUUGGGACUAACAUACAUGUAGGUAAUGCACGAAUAUCAUGCAUGUUGCGCUAACAACAUUCUGAAAUCAAAUGCGCACACCAUCUAUCACAUGUCCUGAUUCCUAAAGCUGAAUUAAACUCAACCGAUAUAUGCAGAACAAUUAAUAUUUUUGUGGCAGUACGUAGAAAGAUAAACCCAUAAAGAGAUAAUAGAUAUGACUAAUGGGGUCAUUUUAAUUUACUAUAAUUGUCAUUUACCCCCAAAAACAGUUGAAAUUAUCAUGUAUGCCAUUGGGUGUCGUGUUAUUUAAACUAAAAUUCAGACAAAUAAAUAUAAAACUAACUUAGGAGAGAAGUACUUUGUCCUCCCUUUCUUUCUGCGCCUGUCGACCACUCAAAUGAUGGCACAAAGCAAAACCCAACAAAUUGGAAGGAAAGGAGAGGGGUCCCUCACCUAGCGAAGCGAUAGAGGGGGGGGGAGGCAACAGGCAAGAACAACAACGAUGAAAACUUGUAUAUGUGCGCCUAAUUGGGAGACAUAUAUUAGAUGACAUAAAAGUAUAUUGUGGCUAAUUCAAGAAAUCUAUAUAUCCUAGAAAAAUAAGUGAUUUCCAAUUGAUCAAAGGCAUCCUCUUUAUCAUCUGGACACACAAGAAGAAAAUUUCAGACCAAAUGUAGCAGAUCAGAUUGUCUUUUCAGCUUGUGAAAAAGAGUUAGCUUUUUUAGGGAUAAUAAGUCAAAAAGGUUAUGUUGUGGUCACAGGGAACAUAACGUCCUAACGGUGGAUACUCGAGUGGUAUAAGCAGGUAGUAUUUUUAUCUCAUUUAGUCGCAUUAAAAUGAACCUAGACUAUAUACUGCAGCUAAUAUAUUUCAUAUUGGCGUAAAGGGAGAAGCCCGGUGAAAUCAGCUAAGAAUUCAUCUAGGAACGAUCCGUUCUGUUAUUUUCAAAGGCACAUAUCAAAUGAUCCCAAGUAAGAAUAUCAAAGUUGUGGAAUCUCAAAAGAUCCAUCUAGGAACGCAAGUAUGGUAACUAAAUAGUGAUUAAAUUAAUGUUUGAGCUUGGAUAAGGUUACCUGGGUGGCCUCUUCUCCAAACGGUCCUCAACUUUGGGACAUAGAUGGCUUGCUUAAUGCAAUCCGGGCAGCAUGAGCCUCUUCAAAUGGAAUGAUCCCUGUCAUUGCCCGCAACAUUAGACCAUUAGACCAUGCAAGUACAAAGGUUUCUAUAAAAUUCAAGAUUUCCACAAUAUAUGUUGAAUAUACAAAUUAAUCCAAAAAUCAAAUAAGCAAAAGAAAAUCACUAUAUUGAAUAUACAGAGUACUCCACAUGGUCCAUAUGUAGAAGCCAGCGACCAGAGUUGCAUUUGUGAACAAGUUCAAAGGAUAAACCAUCAUUUGAUUAGGAGCAAUAGCUACCUGAGUAGUCUGCAAGAGUUUGCAUUAUUUUGAGAUGAAUUGGCCAUAACUGAGCUUCCCCGCGAACACUUGA